GUGUGUAUUAACACCCCGGCCUCCUCGCUACCUGUGUGUGUAUUAACGCCCCGGCCUCCUUGCUACCUGUGUGUGUAUUAACACCCCGGCCUCCUCACUACCUGUGUGUGUAUUAACGCCCCGGCCUCCUCACAACCUGUAUCAACUAUGGCCUGAGUAUGAUAGACUUAUCCAUGGUUUAAACAGAAUAUAUUGUUUUCAACUUUGAAAAUAAGAAUAUGGAAAUCCAGAUGCAGAAAUGUGAGAAGAAAAGAGAGUAAACAGAGUGGAAGGUCAGGUGACCUUGCCUGUCAUGAAUAUGAAGGUCAAGGUGUGUGAAUUGUGAAAUUUCCAAGAGAACCUCACUGAAGCAAAGAAUGGAGAAAGAAUCGCAUUUGGCCCUGGGAGCGUGCAGGGGUGAAUGGUGCAGGAGCUAAAUCUUUAUCAUACCCAGAAAUCAACAGCCACUAUUUGAAAUCAUCUAAAUUCGUGCUGCUAACCUUCAGUGUACACACAAAUCACCUGGGGAUCUUAUUAAAAGCUAGUUUCUGAUUCACUAAA
RNAcentral lists this long non-coding RNA (540 nucleotides) under Pan troglodytes (chimpanzee). Its description in RNAcentral is "lincRNA". The record is from RNAcentral. Lineage: Eukaryota; Metazoa; Chordata; Mammalia; Primates; Hominidae.